This 253-nucleotide ribosomal RNA is filed under the name uncultured bacterium. Its description in RNAcentral is "partial 16S ribosomal RNA". It matches the Rfam family "Bacterial small subunit ribosomal RNA", at positions 524 to 776 of the family's 1533-position model. The record is from RNAcentral.
UACAGAGGUGGCAAGCGUUGUUCGGAAUUACUGGGCGUAAAGGGCGCGUAGGCGGCCUUCUAAGUCAGACGUGAAAUCCCCCGGCUUAACCUGGGAACUGCGUCCGAUACUGGGAGGCUUGAGUAUGGGAGAGGGAUGUAGAAUUCCAGGUGUAGCGGUGAAAUGCGUAGAUAUCUGGAGGAAUACCGGUGGCGAAGGCGGCAUCCUGGACCAUAACUGACGCUGAGGCGCGAAAGCUAGGGGAGCAAACGGG